This 601-nucleotide ribosomal RNA is filed under the name Bacillus sp. G400II. Its description in RNAcentral is "bacterial SSU rRNA". It matches the Rfam family "Bacterial small subunit ribosomal RNA", at positions 270 to 863 of the family's 1533-position model. Lineage: Bacteria; Bacillati; Bacillota; Bacilli; Caryophanales; Bacillaceae. The record is from RNAcentral.
AAGGCGACGAUGCGUAGCCGACCUGAGAGGGUGAUCGGCCACACUGGGACUGAGACACGGCCCAGACUCUACGGGAGGCAGCAGUAGGGAAUCUUCCGCAAUGGACGAAAGUCUGACGGAGCAACGCCGCGUGAACGAUGAAGGUCUUCGGAUCGUAAAGUUCUGUUGUUAGGGAAGAACAAGUACCAGAGUAACUGCUGGUACCUUGACGGUACCUAACGAGGAAGCCACGGCUAACUACGUGCCAGCAGCCGCGGUAAUACGUAGGUGGCAAGCGUUGUCCGGAAUUAUUGGGCGUAAAGCGCGCGCAGGCGGUUUCUUAAGUCUGAUGUGAAAGCCCACGGCUCAACCGUGGAGGGUCAUUGGAAACUGGGGAACUUGAGUACAGAAGAGGAGAGUGGAAUUCCACGUGUAGCGGUGAAAUGCGUAGAUAUGUGGAGGAACACCAGUGGCGAAGGCGACUCUCUGGUCUGUAAVUGACGCUGAGGCGCGAAAGCGUGGGUAGCAAACAGGAUUAGAUACCCUGGUAGUCCACGCCGUAAACGAUGAGUGCUAGGUGUUAGGGGGUUUCCGCCCCUUAGUGCUGAAGUUAACGCAUUAA